Molecule: ribosomal RNA, 497 nt
Filed under: uncultured bacterium
Lineage: Bacteria
Description: partial 16S ribosomal RNA
Rfam family: Bacterial small subunit ribosomal RNA
Source: RNAcentral
GAUGAACGCUGGCGGCGUGCUUAACACAUGCAAGUCGAACGAACAGGCGCGGAGCUUGUUGGUCGGUCGUGAGCAGCGGAGGGGUGAGGAACACGUGGAUAGCCUCCUUAUCAGACUUGGAUGACUACGGGAAAACGGAGCUGAUAAUAGAGGAUAUACUGAACCGCAUGGUUGAUUGGUGAAGGACGGUUUUUGUGUCGCUUCUGGAUGGAUCCGCGCCGGAUUAGCUAGUUGGUAGGGUAACGGCUUACCAAGGCAGCGAUGCGUAGCCGGCCUGAGAGGGGGGUCGGCGGCCAUAGAGGGGAGACGCGGCCCAGAAGCCUACGGGAGGCAGCAGUAGGGGAUGUUACGCAACGGUGGGAAGCAUGACGGAGCAGCGCCGCGGCAGUGGUGAAGGUGUUCGGAGCGUAAUGAUCUGUUAUUGGGGGAGAACAAAUGUGGAAGUGACUGUGGACGGCUUGACGGUACCUGAUCAGGAAGCCACGGCUAACUACGUG